GGGGGUGUCGCAUAGUGGCAAUUGCGGCUGACUGUAACUCAGCUCCUUCGGGUUCAGAGGUUCGAGUCCUCUCACCCCCA
This 80-nucleotide transfer RNA is filed under the name Hymenobacter actinosclerus. It matches the Rfam family "tRNA". Rfam says of the family: Transfer RNA (tRNA) molecules are approximately 80 nucleotides in length. Their secondary structure includes four short double-helical elements and three loops (D, anti-codon, and T loops). The record is from Rfam by way of RNAcentral. Lineage: Bacteria; Pseudomonadati; Bacteroidota; Cytophagia; Cytophagales; Hymenobacteraceae. RNAcentral also lists the same sequence under 5 other names.